UUACUAAAACAACGCCAAAAGGUAAUAUAGAAAAAAAUGUUGCGCCUUUAGAAUUAGCAUUAUCAUCUGGUGCCACAUUUGUAGCCCAAGGUUUUU
RNAcentral lists this small RNA (96 nucleotides) under Staphylococcus aureus. RNAcentral's name for it is "HMPRFS0000_1365". The record is from RNAcentral. Lineage: Bacteria; Bacillati; Bacillota; Bacilli; Caryophanales; Staphylococcaceae.